CACCUGCCGCUGCACUGAUUAGAGCAAAUGAUUAUGAUUCAAUCAGUGGAGUGGAACUUGACUCACAUAAUUAUCAGAAUUUAGAAAUACUCUUGUAUGUGUGUUUUCUCACACAACAACUCCAUUUACCCGGAGGCCUUGAAGAUUACUCCAGUAUUACAAUGUGUGGAAUUUUUCUAGGCGUGGUGCGCAACCUCUCGUCCUUCAUUAGACUCACCUGCUUCUCAUCUACUGACCUCAUCGGCAGCGUAUAUAAACCCCGUUUCUUCAGCGGCCCUGCCCUAAAUGGUGCACUUCAUGUGCACUUGUGUCUUCAUUGAAGCCCGUACUGCUGAAGGCUCAGGGCAGAUCACUACCCAAAAGUCCUUGUGACAGACCGAUCAGAAAGCAUAGGAGGAGUUUCGUUGACACAGGAAGCGGAGGAGUAGUUUCGAUUGCAGGUUUUAGCCAAUGACAGAUGCAUGAUAGAGAAGAGGAUUUUUAAGUCAAGCCUCUGGCUAUAGCCACAGUGAAAACAACAACAAUCGGCAACAUCUUACUCUUUCCGGCAUCACAACGUUGAGUCCGUCACAUUGAUUAAUAGCACCAUCGCCCUCGUAGGAUUCACGCCUUAGAGCCCCAUAGCUGACAUCACCAAAGUGUAGACUUGGAAGAGGGCCACAAGGGCAGAGUGUGUUAUUUUGGAAAGGGCCAGCUACUUAUCGCCAGAUUGUUCCGACCUUUCAGUGCGGUCCACUGCUCUGGCUUCCUGCUGUUCACUCCCGGCUCACUUCCUGCUAUGACCAGCCCAGCCUCGUCUUCCCUGUGGCACUCCUGCUCUGCACUCAGCACUCACGUGUUCCACGUGGUGCAUUGGUUGUGCACUCGACUCGAAUCCUGACCCCAACUACACAUUAUCACAUUCCUUUCACACUCCAGCUCCCUUCAAUAGAUCCUGUUUACCUUCAGUCCUUGUGUGUUUUCUGUAUUUGGGUCCCCUGAUCUCUGUGUUCAUCAUAACAGAACAAUCUGGCCAACAUGGACCCAGCAGACCCAGCCCUGUCCCAUCAGGGCACCCACCUGGAUCAGCAUGAAUUAAAGCUCUGUGAACUCACUGAGAGCCACCAGGCCAUGCUGGACCAGCUCGGGCUCCUCACCCAGCAACUUAACAGCAUCCUGCCCUAACCGGUCCAGUCUGCCUCCUUUCCCUGUCCACCAUGGAGCGAAGCCCACGUCCCAGAUCCCGACCCCUAUGCAGGUGACCUAGGGAUAUGUAGAUCCUUAAUCCUUCAAUGUUCCCUCAUGUUUGUUCAGCAUCCUUACACCUAUGGCAAUGAUGAAGCCAGGGCAGCCUAUAUCAUGGGGCUUCUUAUGGGAGAUGCCCUAACCUGGGCCACCUGGGAUAUGCUGCCACCUCUGUGGUCCGCUCUCUUUUCCUUCACCACAGAACUUAGUAAGGUUUUCAACAACCUCAUCCAAGAGAAGGAGGCCGCCAAGCGCCUGCUUUCCCUGUGCCAGGGGCCUUGCAGUGUGGUCGAGUAUUCUGUGAAGAUCUGUGUCUUGACUGCCUAGUCUGGGUGGAAUGAGGAGGCGCUCCAGGGAGUUUUCCUGAAUGGACUCAGUGAGCAGGUGAAGGAUGAGCUUGUCAUGAAAGAUGAGUCAGAUUUCUAUUGAUUCUAUUGAAGAUUUCAGAUUUCUAUUGCCAUCCGGUUGGGUAACCACAUGCAGGAGUGGCACAGAGAGAGAGAGCCAGCCAGUCUCAAGCCGCUUCUCUUCCUCUCCAUUUGCCCACCAAUCCAGCCUCUGAGUCUCAGCCCAGUCAUUGAGUCCCUUCCAGUUCCCCCUCGUCUGCAGAAGAACCCAUGCAAGUAGGCUGGGCCUGGCUAACCCCGGCUGAGCAUGACUGCUGGUUCCAGGUUGGUGAAUGCAUCUACUGUGGCCCAUCAGGCCACUUCAUUGCCACCUGUCCUCUUAGUCCAAAGGGGGGGGAGGGGGGGCUUUCCAGUAGAAAGGGAGUUACUGGUGAGUCGAACAUCUUCCUGUCCUAUCUCCAAAUUCCAGCCACCCUGCGCCACAAACAAAUCUCCAUCCCCCUACUUGCACUGGGUGACUCAGGUGCUGAGGACAAUGUUCUGGAUCUGGAUUUAGAUUCCCAAUCUGGCCUCCCUCUGGAACCUCUGGACCACUCAAACACCCCCCCCACCCCAGGUUCUCUCGGGUAACCACCACGAGCAGGUAUUCCCUUGGUUUUGAUACACUCCUGGUUAACCAAACACAACCCCCAGAUAGACUGGUAAGCCAGAAGGGUUAGCUCUGGAGGGUUAACUGGAGCCCCUUCUGCCACUUCUCGUGUCUGAAAUCUGCCGUUCCAACCAUUACGUCCACUAAAGUACCUCCGACCCUACACCUUCCAGACCACUCAUCUGUGCCCUCCUGUGUAUCUUAACCUGAGAGAGGUCUUCCUCAAGGACCGGACCCUCUCACUAUCACCUCACCGCCCAUACGACUGCACCAUCGACCUUCUUCCUGGGGCCUCUCUGCCAUCCGGUCAACUGUACAAUCUGUCCCAUCCUGAGAGAGAGGCCAUGGAGAGAUACAUUCAUGAGGCACAAAACCCUCCAUCUUUGUACCGAUUACCAGGCCUUAACAACAUCACCAUUAAAAAUAAGUACCCGCUGCCACUCCUCAGCUCAACCACUGAGCCUCUGCAUGGAGCCACAGUGUACACCAAAUCGGACCUGUUUAAUGCAUACCGUCUGGUCAGGCUCAGAGAAUGGUACAAAUGGAAGACAUUUCUACCAUUGGGCCACUUUGAAUACUUGGUAAUGCCAUGUGACCUUAACAAUGCCCCAGCGGUCUUCUAAGCCUUAGUUAAUGACAUCCUCUGAGAUUUUACUGAACUGUUUUGUCUUCGUUUACCUGGCCGACAUGUGUUAAGCACAUCCUUCACGUCUGUCAGGUCCUUCAGAGACUGCUUGAGAACCACCUAUUUGCCAAAGCGGAGAAGUGCGGGUUCCAUGUGAACUUGGUCAGGUUCCUGGGGAUUGUCAUUAAGAAUGGCCAGGUGAGGACCGGUACAAAGAAGAUCCAGGCUGUCAUCGAGUAGCCAAGGCCUACCACCUAGAAGCAGCUUCAAUUAUUCCUGGGGUUUGCUAACUUUUAACGCUGAUUAAUUCAAGACUACAGCUGAGUCGCAGCGCCCCUCACUAGGCUCACCUCUACUUCUACUCCCUUUGUGUGGACCCCUGAGGCCGAGUAUACCGUCACCAAAAUUAUGGAACUGUUCACCUCAGCCCCCAUGUUGAUCCAGCCUAAUCAGUACCAACAAUUCAUUGUAGAGGUGGACACCUCUGACUCAGGUGUGGGUGCAGUGCCCUCCCAAUGAUCUGCCCCUGACCAGAAACUUCACCCCUGUGCCUUAUUCUCUCAUUAUCUCUCCACAGCAGAAUGCAACUAUGAUGUGAGGAAUCGUGAGUUGCUAACCAUGAAGUUAGCCUUGGGGGAGUGGAGGCACUGGCUUGAGGGGGCUGAGCAGCAUUUAUUGUAUGGACCAACCAUAAGAACUUGGCUUACAUCCAAACUGCCAAGCACCUCAACUCCCGUCAGGCAUGCUGGGACCUGCUCUUCGGGCAGUUCAACUUCAUGAUCACCUACUGUCCUGGUUCCAAGAAUGCUAAGCCCGAUGACCUCUCUCACCAGUUCACUUCAGAAGAAGAGGACACCUCUGACCCUGACACCAUCCUCUCUUUGGCCUGCAUAGUGAGGGCAGUCACAAAUGGAGAUUGAGUCCAUGGUCCGGAAAGCACAACUCACCCAACCCGACCCAGGUAAUGGGCCCCCUGGUUGCUUGUUCAUCCCCGGCAUGUUCCCAGGUCCUCCAGUGGGUUCCCUGUUCCUGGUUCACCUGCCACCCUGUUGAAAUAGAACUUCUGUUGGCAUACAAUGGACACUGACACCCGAGCCUUUGUCGCUGCCUGCACCAUACACUCCAGCUUCCUUCAAUAAAUCCUGUUUACCUUCAGUCCUCUUGUGUGUUCUGCAUUUGGGUUCCCUCGUCUCUGUGUUCAUCAUAACCAUAACCCCAACUAAGUCCAUUUUCCAAUUUCAGUUUGAGGUUGUAAUACUGUAACAUGUAGAAAAGUUCAAAAGAGGUAGAUAGUUAUGCAAGGAACUGUAUGGUAAAACAAUGAUUUGGAAAAAAUAAUUCUUGGUAAUGAACUGCAAAUCAUUGUUUUUAAGUGAUGUACACCAAUCAGCCAUAACAUUAAAACUACUGAGAGGUGAAGUGAAUAACACUGAUAAUCUCAUUACAGUGGCACAUGUCAGGGGGUGGGAGAUAUUAGGCAGCAAGUGAACAGUCACUUCUUGAAGCUGAUGUGUUGGAAGCAGAAAAAUGGGCAAACAUAAGUAUCUGAGACACUGAGACAAAGGGGCCAAAUUGUGAUGGCUAGACCACUGGGUCAGAGCAUCUCCAAAAUGGCAGGUUUUGUGGGGCGUUCCCGGCAUGCAGUGGUUAGUACCUACCAAAAACGCCCAAGGAUCAUUGAUGGAUCAUUGCCCGUCUGGUCCGAUCCUACAGAAAAGCUACUAUAGCACAAAUUGCUGAAAAACUCACUGCUGGCUAUGAUAGAAAGAUGUCAGAAAACACAGUGCAUCAGAGCUUGCAGUGCGUAGCAGCAGACUGGUCAGAGUACCCAUGUUGACCCCUGUCCACUGCCGAAAACACCUACAGUGGGCAUGUGAGCAUCAGAACUGGAUCAUGGUGCAAUGAAAGAAGGUGGCCUGGUGAAUCACGUUUUCUUUUACAUCAUGUGGACAGAAAAGUGCAUGUGAAUUGUCUACGUAGGGAAGAGAUGGCACCAGAAUGCACUAUGAGAAGGGGAACUUGAAUGAUCAGAAUGCACCAUUCAGAUCAAAACCAAUAAAUGAACAAAUAUAAGAGGACAUGUUGAUGUGUUUAUUGGUCUACUAAACUUAUUUUGUUGUAACAUGUAAUGUGGUAUGUUACCUAAAAGGUGUUUCAUACCCCUGCUCAGGUUGUCCCUUCUCUCUGAC
Long non-coding RNA from Ictalurus punctatus (channel catfish), 5034 nucleotides. Lineage: Eukaryota; Metazoa; Chordata; Actinopteri; Siluriformes; Ictaluridae. The record is from Ensembl.